AGUCUCUCAGAGCAAGAACCGUCCCACCUUUGCAGUCUUGAGAUUGAGAAACACCGCCCACACCUCAUUCGUGUAAAAGAGGAAAUGAUUUGGUUUCAUGUUUCCUGUUAGUACAUCUAGAGGAACCAGGCAGCAGCUCUCAGCAGAUUCUAACUUUGGAGCAACGAUGAAGAUGUAUUCAUCUGUCACGUUCGCCCGAGUCGGCACCUUUGUCACAAUCAUUGUGGUUUUUAUCUACAAGGUUGUGCUUGACAGGGAUUACAAGUGCGAUUGUGAUGGUAGCGGUUAUCACUGUGUUUUGUACAUGGUUAUACCAUUUACAGUUUUAUUUGUGUUACAACUCUGGACGAUCAAGAAAUGCCGACGUAAAAGUGAGGGAUGUGAUAAGACUUGUAUUAAGUACAUGUGGAAACCGCUUCUCAAGGCAUUUGUAGUUGGUCUGCUCUGGGUUACCUCUUUGUUAAUUGAUGGAGACUGGGCUGUUUGCUAUUUCCACAAAGACUUAGCCUGCAAAGACAAAAACAACUUCAACUCUACGGAACAGGAGACCUUCUCCAAUGUGAAAUCAAUUUCAGAGUACCUCGGCUGGGGUCUCAUCUUGGUUAUUCUUGCUGUGGUUUCGGGAAUGAGAUGGUUCUCAUGCCGUAGGAAUGCAAACUGUAUGAGAAACUGAAGUUGAAACAGAAGGAACAUGUGCUGAAACAGAUAGCAAUAGAAGAUUUGAAAGAAGAACUCACACUAGAUUGGGUAGAAGAAAGAUCAGACGUACUAGUCGAAGCAGCAGACAAGGCAGUAGACAGAGCAGCCGGAAGAGCCAGAGAUACCAAAAAAAUCAGAAAAGCCGGAGUAGACGCAGCAGCCGAAGGAAAAAACAUAGACAAAGUCAACGCAGCCAAAGCAGACGCAGCAAACAGAGCAGCAAACGGAGCAGCAGUCAGAAUAGCAGCCAGAGGAGACAUAGACAGACGGAUCGCUUUUUUAUCAGAAAAAAAGGUGACUACGUUUUUGGAAAGGCUGAAUAAAGAUCCAUCAGCUGAUCCUCAGCAUCCUGAGCCUUUUGGUUACAAGGACCACUCAGCCCAGAGAAGUUUGAUUCUUCAUGAAACAAGUUGUAUUCUGCAUUGUCAUGACAACAAACAAACAGAAGACAGAGCAACUUUCAUCGCAAUUGUUAACAAAAGCUGCCACAAAAUCAGACAUUUUGGGCCCAACAAUCUCAAAAAAAGGCCUCAAAAUCCUGGAGGGACUGACUAAUCAGAUCUAUAAUCAUAUCUGCUCAACUGACCAUCAAUAUCUUCAUCUUCAUCAGUUUCCUACAGUUUUAGAGCCCAAACUGGGACAAGGAGAGCAUACGUUGUGAAGCUUUUUCAUUUAUUGAUCCCUUUCAAUAUAAACAU
Sander lucioperca (pikeperch) is the source of this 1397-nucleotide long non-coding RNA. RefSeq lists it as uncharacterized. The transcript has 4 exons. The record is from RefSeq and is a predicted model, not a curated record. Lineage: Eukaryota; Metazoa; Chordata; Actinopteri; Perciformes; Percidae.